RNAcentral lists this unclassified non-coding RNA (205 nucleotides) under soil metagenome. RNAcentral describes it as "partial contains 5.8S ribosomal RNA, internal transcribed spacer 2, and large subunit ribosomal RNA". The record is from RNAcentral.
AACACUGUUAACCUGCGGUACCUGCGGAAGGAUCAUUACCGAGUUUACAACUCCCAAACCCCUGUGAACAUACCACUUGUUGCCUCGGCGGAUCAGCCCGCUCCCGGUAAAACGGGACGGCCCGCCAGAGGACCCCUAAACUCUGUUUCUAUAUGUAACUUCUGAGUAAAACCAUAAAUAAAUCAAAACUUUUAACAACGGAUCU